AGCUGUAGUCGAUGCUCAUCCUGCGCUCGGGUUUUCGGUUUCACUGACAGCACAGGAACACGAGACACAAGCAACAACAAGCCGGUUACAGAAAUCCCCGAGUGUCCAACGGCAGCAGCGCGCGACGUGAAGCCAAUUAUUAUACGUCAUCAAGAUGCGCGGAAGGAUUUGUGUAUAAAAGUGAGCGACGCGCGUGUGUACACAUAUAUACACACUACAUUGUUUUGAUCAGAGUUAAAAUCAUGCAUUUCUAAAAGCACCAACCCCAAAGCCAUUAAAUCCUCUGAUAAACUGUAAUGUCUUUAACUGUAACUGUGUUCUUGUAUGUUUGUUCAAGUGUUUAUCAGAGUUGUUUUUUUUUAUUUAAUUUUUUUAAUUUCAAUUUUAUUAUUUUGCACAUUCUACACUUUAUAAAUAAAGUUAAAUAAAUAAAUAAAUUCCCACUACACAAAGUAACUGUACUUGUAGUGGCCAAAACACCAAUAAUGUGACAAUGCUGUGUGUUUUUGCUGACAUGUAUUUUUAUUUCUACUGUGAAUGUAAUAACACUGUCAAAAUUGACGUACUGCAAGAAA
Long non-coding RNA from Stegastes partitus (bicolor damselfish), 575 nucleotides. RefSeq lists it as uncharacterized. The transcript has 2 exons. The record is from RefSeq and is a predicted model, not a curated record. Lineage: Eukaryota; Metazoa; Chordata; Actinopteri; Pomacentridae.